RNAcentral lists this ribosomal RNA (253 nucleotides) under uncultured bacterium. Its description in RNAcentral is "partial 16S ribosomal RNA". It matches the Rfam family "Bacterial small subunit ribosomal RNA", at positions 524 to 776 of the family's 1533-position model. The record is from RNAcentral.
UACGGAGGGUGCAAGCGUUGUUCGGAUUUACUGGGCGUAAAGCGUAUGUAGGCGGUUGGUUAAGUUUAGUGUUAAAUCUUAGGGCUCAACCUUAAACAUGCACUGAAUACUGGCUGACUAGAGGGCAAUAGAGGAAGGUGGAAUUCCCAAUGUAGCGGUGAAAUGCGUAGAUAUUGGGAGGAACAUCAGUAGCGAAGGCGACCUUCUGGGUUGUCCCUGACGCUGAGGUACGAAAGCGUGGGGAGCAAACGGG